UCGAACGAUGAUCCGGUGCUUGCACCGGGGAUUAGUGGCGAACGGGUGAGUAACACGUGAGUAACCUGCCCUUAACUCUGGGAUAAGCCUGGGAAACUGGGUCUAAUACCGGAUAUGACUCCUCAUCGCAUGGUGGGGGGUGGAAAGCUUUUUUGUGGUUUUGGAUGGACUCGCGGCCUAUCAGCUUGUUGGUGAGGUAAUGGCUCACCAAGGCGACGACGGGUAGCCGGCCUGAGAGGGUGACCGGCCACACUGGGACUGAGACACGGCCCAGACUCCUACGGGAGGCAGCAGUGGGGAAUAUUGCACAAUGGGCGCAAGCCUGAUGCAGCGACGCCGCGUGAGGGAUGACGGCCUUCGGGUUGUAAACCUCUUUCAGUAGGGAAGAAGCGAAAGUGACGGUACCUGCAGAAGAAGCGCCGGCUAACUACGUGCCAGCAGCCGCGGUAAUACGUAGGGCGCAAGCGUUAUCCGGAAUUAUUGGGCGUAAAGAGCUCGUAGGCGGUUUGUCGCGUCUGCCGUGAAAGUCCGGGGCUCAACUCCGGAUCUGCGGUGGGUACGGGCAGACUAGAGUGAUGUAGGGGAGACUGGAAUUCCUGGUGUAGCGGUGAAAUGCGCAGAUAUCAGGAGGAACACCGAUGGCGAAGGCAGGUCUCUGGGCAUUAACUGACGCUGAGGAGCGAAAGCAUGGGGAGCGAACAGGAUUAGAUACCCUGGUAGUCCAUGCCGUAAACGUUGGGCACUAGGUGUGGGGGACAUUCCACGUUUUCCGCGCCGUAGCUAACGCAUUAAGUGCCCCGCCUGGGGAGUACGGCCGCAAGGCUAAAACUCAA
This 833-nucleotide ribosomal RNA is filed under the name Arthrobacter sp. ECX16. RNAcentral's name for it is "bacterial SSU rRNA". It matches the Rfam family "Bacterial small subunit ribosomal RNA", at positions 62 to 904 of the family's 1533-position model. Lineage: Bacteria; Bacillati; Actinomycetota; Actinomycetes; Micrococcales; Micrococcaceae. The record is from RNAcentral.